GAUGAACGCUGGCGGCGUGCCUAAUACAUGCAAGUCGAGCGAACAGACGGGGAGCUUGCUCCUCUGACGUUAGCGGCGGACGGGUGAUGAACACGGGGAUAACCUACCUAUAAGACUGGGAUAACUACGGGAAACCGUAGCUAAGACCGGAAAAUAUAUUGCACCUCAUUGGUCAAUAGUUGAAGACGGUUUUUCGGUCAGUUAUAGAUGGAUCCGCGCCGCAUUAGCUAGUUGGUAAGGUAACGGCUUACCAAGGCUGCGAUGGGAAGACGCCCCGAGAGGGUGAUUCGCCACACGGGAACUGAGAAUGGGCCCAGACUCCUACGGGAGGAAGCAGUACGGACUCUUCCGCAAUGCGCGAAAGCGUGACGGUGCAAAGCCGCGGGAGUGCUGAAGCUCUUCGGCUCGUAAAGCUCUGUUAUUCGGGAAGAACAAAUGUGUAAUUACCUAUGAACGUCUUGACGGUACCUAGUCAGAAAGCCCCGGCUAACUCCGUG
This 497-nucleotide ribosomal RNA is filed under the name uncultured bacterium. RNAcentral's name for it is "partial 16S ribosomal RNA". It matches the Rfam family "Bacterial small subunit ribosomal RNA", at positions 28 to 507 of the family's 1533-position model. The record is from RNAcentral.